RNAcentral lists this non-coding RNA (21 nucleotides) under Mus musculus (house mouse). The record is from RNAcentral. Lineage: Eukaryota; Metazoa; Chordata; Mammalia; Rodentia; Muridae.
UGUAAGCCUAAGAGCUAAUCC